UACAAAUGUAUAACGAAGACGAGCUUCUCAAAAUUUUCUUUUAAUAUUUCUAGUCUCACCGGAAUAUGGAUUGUUAAGAUUUAGGAUGAAUCUCGAUCAUGACCUGCAUCCCAGAUGAUCAAUCAUCAAUAUAAUUGCAAAAAUUAGCGUUCAACAGAUAAAGCUUCAAGGAAAACAAGAAUUUGCCAUUUUAGGCACAACAACAAUUCCAUCAUAAAAAGGUAAUAUUUCGAGAAAUUAAAGUGCAAUUUUGUCAUUUCAUAAUGACCAAGUUUUUCUAUACCUGGCUUUUAUAUAGUCCACAGGUUACCCAAAGGCAUAUAAAUAAAAGACUUCACAGCCUGCAUUAGAGAACAAGCUCCAUUCCACCUGCUUCAUCUAUUGGGCACUAGUUCUUCAGCUAUUUCUCAUCAUAAGAAUCAUGGGUACUCAAAAUCCCAGGGUCCCAUUUCUGUUCAUCAUGGUCAUGCUCACCUUCACUCAGCUCUCAAAUUGCCGCGAUAUGAAGAGAGUUACAAUUGAAGGAACAGAGAUGGAAUUUAAACCAGAACCAGAAUUCCGUUCCCCGUUUUCAAUGCAUUUUCCUGCAGCAGUUCCCAUUGAAGCCAAAAAUGAUGGCGUCGAACCAAUUUAUGGUAUGUCAGACCGGACUGUUCCAGGUGGACCAGACCCACUUCACAAUUGAUUAGCUUCUUCAAAAAUAUGAUAUGUCUUCAAAUAUACAAAAUUUUGCAGUUUACAGGUGUGAAUGUGUGAUAUUAAUGUUCUUUCCAUAUAUUUGUUUAAUUUGCUCCCAGAGAUAUAUUAUAUAUCUCAUAUAUAAUAUAUCUCUGCCCGGGUUUACAAGUGUAAUAUAUAUCAUAUAUAUUACAUACAAGUGAAAUAUUGAUAACUUCUACAAUUUUUGAAGAUUUGUUAUUCUACUAGAAUGAAUCAAGCAAACACCUUUUAUUUUCUUCUUUUAUUUAUUUGAUUAGUAUGAAUUAAAAAAGGAUAUCUAAUGUGUAAAACUUGAAAGUAUACAAGAAGAGUGUAGCAAUAGUGCCAUAGUUUUUCCUUUCCGACUAGGCCCACAAUCGAUCAGGAUAAAUCGGUUGUCAAAGAGCUACAUCCUAUUGCUUUCUGAAUGAUGGAUUAUAGAAUUUUCUAAUUAUACACAAGUAUCUACAGGAAUAGUAUAAGAAAUAAAAAGUUGAACUUGGUGAAAAGGAAGUUAUUCGUGGCAAAGUACACAACAAACUGAAGUACAAAUAAAACAACUAGAGUUGUUACAAAGAAAUCAAAGAGUAAAUUAAUUAAUCAGUAAAAUAAAUACUAUGACAAUUAAUGAAGAGUUUAGUACUCCAUAUUAUUUUAGUAAUACUGGGGCAUAUUCAUACUCUCUUGAUGUUUAACAAAAAGAAAAAGAAAAGAAAAGUCAAAGGAUUUUAGAAACAGUACUAAGGCAUACAUAUGUAUAUAUUUUCUUACGCUGGAUGGUCCAAUGUUGCUUUCGAAAUACACUGACUGACAAUGAAAUUUAAAAAGAUUGAUAUGUAUUUAAAUCAAGCCUUAUUAAUUAUAACGAUUUUUUUCCUACUUCAGAUAGCUAUGCUAGAAGACCAAUUUUAGCAAAGGACAAGGUGAGGUAGUCAUCCUUAUAUGUGCCAUGCAUAAGCAAACAGAUCAGCGUUGUCACUCAGUGGGUCCACCGAGAAGACUGAUGGAAUUGGGAUGAUAUAAUGAUUUUGCUGAGUAGGUUUAAUAGAGAAGGUAGAGAUUUCUUCAUGUGUGGUAUUCCAUUUCCUAUAUCCUCAUUUUGAAGAUCUACUUAUCCAAACUCCCAAGUAGUUUUGUACUUUCAGGUUGAAUUAGAGUUUCUUAUAUUGUAUUUAUAUAUGGAGGGGAUCUAACAAUUGUAAGAUGUACGAAAUUUCCACAAGAUAGUGAAACUGAUCAACCGCCGACUGUGGAGUGAACCACGUAAAUUUUGUUUCUUGUGUGAUUAUUUUCUUUCGAUUUUCUCUUUACUAUUGUUUUCGCUGCGUUGUUAUUCUCUAACAUCUUUAUGUUCCAGAACUCUAAAUUUAGGUAUAUUUCUUUGUUUUCUACAUCUAAUUGCACAAAUAUCAAUAUUUAGUUCGAUGCAACCCAUCAAUUUCUUUGUUUUCAUAUCUAAUUGCAAAAAGUAUUGGAUGCUCCAACAUCGUAUUUUUACUAAAUUAUUUCUAAAACAAUAAACUUGCUGAUGUAACUAAAAACCUUAUUUGAAAUUUAGCUCUAUUGCAUCUAGAUUUUAAGUGAUUUUCUUAUUAUAAGCAUCCAUAUAAAGCUAACUUUAGCAUACCACGUCCUAUCCUGUGUAGCUUAAGCGAGUUCUCGCAUUUGUUCCACAAACUGAAAAUAAUUGGGAUUCCAGGGAACACUUAUUCAAACUGUGUUGCUUUUCCUAUAAGAUCUCCUAUCAACUACUUUGUCCACACGGAAACACAAAAUAUAUACAUGCCAUUGACUUAAUUAAGGGGAAAUACUAUUUGACUAGAUCUCAUGAUUGUACACGGACCUGGACAUUUUUCAUUUCAUGUGUAGAUCACUAGAUGUCAAUUCUAUAGAUCAAAACAGCGAAACAAGCCAGAAUACUUUCCAAGUAUGACUCUGUUCAGAGAAAUAGAGAUUUUAAAUUAUACUGCUUAUCUCAGACUCUCAGUGGCAGAGAAAAUAAGCUAAAAUCUAGCUACAGAGUUAAUAAGAAAUGUAUGAAUGAUGUAUUACCUGCUUGUUUGUCCCUAAAAUGCGGACCAUCUCAAAGCAAGUAUGCUUUUGCUCUACACAUCCCUGCAGUAGAUUCACAUAAGAAUAAGAUGUUUGAAUCAUUUGCAAAUACCCCAACUUAAAGGAACAGAAAACAUACCAUGAAGUUCAGUAUUAAAUGACCUUCUUGAUCCACAGAUAAAUUAAUGGAAAGGACUUUCUGCAUGACACGCUGAAAUUUAGACCUCCACAUCUGUUAUUCAAAAUCCAGAAAGAAAGAAAGGAGCCAGGAAAGUUAGUCAGAAGACUCAGAACAACUACUGUUAAGAUUGAAAGAAGAAUGAAAUCGAUAAGAUAUCAAAAACUUCUAUCAGAUUUUAGCUCCAAAACACGUCAACAUUUUCAAAAUUUCUUGAGUCAAACUACUUGCCGCUUUUCAAAUAUUAGACUUUUAGUAUUUCGAGUAACUUCAGAUUGAGUAGACUAUAACUAGGAAAGGAGCAAAUGUCAAGAUAGAGUUUGAAACUUGCACGGGAAUGUUAAUCUAUCUGAUGAUUUUUGAAAAGAAAAAAAAAUAUAUCUGAACCCCAAUAACUAAUCCAUCUAGAGUUCAAUUUUUAGUAACGUGACAUCCUUAGUCAUGUUAAAUAUGCAUGCAGGUAAUAUAGAAGUAAAAUCAGAAGUUAUGCACCUGUCUAUAUGUACAGACUUGCCUAAGUUCAGAAAGAGUUUAGAAGCUCAAACAUUUUAAACUAGUUAGUCAUUUAAUAAGACUCCUGAAUAAUGGGGCUAAUUUAAAAGGUUGGGCUCCUUAAAUCCUUGUAAUCUGAACCACCCAUGAAGAUCUUGAAGGCAUCAGCUGUAAAAAUAUCACCAAAUAACAAUCAUAAGAAAGGAAACAAUUAAUUUCAGGAUACAUACAGUGUUACCCAAAACGUUCAUUUCGUUACAUGAUACGAAUGCGGGUACGCGGUACGCUAGGGCAUCUUUAUGUAAGUUAUUAUAAUUAGAAAUUCUCUUAAAAUCUAAAUGUAAUAAGCCUAUGUUUUGCAUAAAAUAUUUAGUUGAAUCAACAAGUUAAUUGUUUUAUAAAUAAUUUCAUUUCAAUGUUUGACCAUCUAAUGCUAAGUUAUAAUAUGGAUAUUUGUGUAAUUUUAGGUAAAACAACAAAAAAAAAUUCCGGUAUGUUAAAUUUAGAGUAUUGGUUCGAAAGAGUACCAUGUUUUGGUAUGCAAAUACCAAUACGCGAUUUUCUAGGUCAAUGAGAGAAGAAAGCUCGCAUGACCGAAAUCGUAUGAUUACCACAUGAGUAAAUUCCUUACUAACAACGUUGAAAUUUGAACCUGAAAAUGGACAUGAUAAUAGCAUGAUUGCAUGAGUGAAAAAUAACAGUGAGAAUGAUAUAACAUCGCCACUGCUUGUGUAUAAUUACUCUCCUCUAUAUUAAAAGAAAAAUAAAACAAAAACAAACGCGCACACACAUAAGAGAAAUAGAAGAAAAACUAACAGCAAUCCUUCUGUACUGCUACUGGAUUCACCAUUAGCUAUUCAAGACAAAAACAUAAUACAAACUAAUUAAUUCGAAAUGUCAAUGUUUAGACAAAUUUUGCCUUUGAAAAUGAUGUGAAUUUGCAGAUUAUAGGGUUUGGUCCUCAUAAAUUUUAAGCCCUAAAAAAGCUAUUAUUGAACACCAAAACACAAAUUGGAACGAAUCUAAGCCUGAUUUCAACCCAUACAACAAGAAAAUCCAUAUACAAAGUUCUAAUUUUGUUACCUUGGUCUAAAAUUGAUGAAUCGACGAGGAGGGCUCAUAUCUCUUCGGUUGGUUUGUCUCGCGAAAUGGCUGCAAGGUGAGUAGGAGGAGAGAGAAGGCAGAGAUUCGUCGCGACGAGAGAGGGAGAAGGGGCCGAAAGCCUACUCGCGUCUGUUUGCCUCUGCUUCCGAUGAGCUCUUCCGUCUGCUCCUUUGGAAGUGUGAGAGAGGGAGGGAAGGAGAUGGAGGGAAGGAGAUGGAAGAUGGAGAGAGAAUCGGGGAAACAAAUUUACAGAAAAAAGUGUGAGAGAAGAAUCUGUAUGCUUGGAAGUGUGAGAGACCUAAUUUGUUUAUGACCCGCGCGUUUUUUUUU
This 4855-nucleotide long non-coding RNA is filed under the name Panax ginseng (ginseng). RNAcentral's name for it is "long non-coding RNA (PGIN_LNC000978)". Lineage: Eukaryota; Viridiplantae; Streptophyta; Magnoliopsida; Apiales; Araliaceae. The record is from RNAcentral.